Long non-coding RNA from Scylla paramamosain (green mud crab), 602 nucleotides. RefSeq lists it as uncharacterized. The transcript has 2 exons. The record is from RefSeq and is a predicted model, not a curated record. NCBI's taxonomy places the organism in Eukaryota, Metazoa, Arthropoda, Malacostraca, Decapoda, Portunidae.
GCAACUUUUUUCUUUCCCUUUUCCAUCUUCUCUUUUUGAUCUUUUCUUCUUUUUAUUCUGAUUUUCCUCCUUUCCCUUCUCCACCAUCUCCGCUUCCUCCACCACCACCAACACCGCCGCCUGUUCCCAUUCCCCAGAACCAAGGACGAAGAGGGGAGGGGUGCGGGGAGGUGCUAUGGAUUUGGGGAGAGGGAUGUGAGGUGCACCGGUGCCUUGUUCGCCAGGUGGGGAUUUGCAGCCUCCCUCCCCAGCACCCUCGUCCUUCCUCGCACCUGUCUGACCUUCUCCCUCUGCCACAACCCUCCAGGGGACGCGCCCGCUGCGACUUGCUGCGGUAAAAAAACACUAACUUUUGUUUUUCCACGUGCUUCUGUAGAGGUCCGAGUGUGUGUCCGGUACAUGGUGUGCAUCGUGGUGACUUACGCAAAUAGGACUGUAGUAGUAUAGACAGGUGAGUUCCAGUAUACGGUAUGCAUUCUGGUAACGUGGGCAAAUGAAAGGACUGUAGUGGUAUAAACAGGUAUGUUACACAGUGAUGGUAACAGUGGCAAAGGUGAUGGUAUAAAACAGUCAUAUAAUGGGAGUUUCUUACAUUUUCAAGC